Pan troglodytes (chimpanzee) is the source of this 148-nucleotide non-coding RNA. It matches the Rfam family "Metazoan signal recognition particle RNA". Rfam says of the family: The signal recognition particle (SRP) is a universally conserved ribonucleoprotein. NCBI's taxonomy places the organism in Eukaryota, Metazoa, Chordata, Mammalia, Primates, Hominidae. The record is from Rfam.
GCCAGGCAUGGUGGUGCAUGCCUAUAGUCCCAGCUACUCAGGAGGCUGAGAUGGGAGGAUCGCUUGAGCCCAGGAGCUCGAGGCUACAGUGAGCCGAGAUUGCGCCAUUGCAGUCCAGCCUGGGCAACAGAGCAAGACCCCAUCUCGA